UAAUCCAGUGUGGUCUCUUUACC
This 23-nucleotide non-coding RNA is filed under the name Cricetulus griseus (Chinese hamster). The record is from RNAcentral. Lineage: Eukaryota; Metazoa; Chordata; Mammalia; Rodentia; Cricetidae.